UGAUGAUAAUGGACUGAACCUGUGAACC
This 28-nucleotide non-coding RNA is filed under the name Mus musculus (house mouse). Lineage: Eukaryota; Metazoa; Chordata; Mammalia; Rodentia; Muridae. RNAcentral also lists the same sequence under 1 other name. The record is from RNAcentral.